GGAAAAAAAAAAUUUUUUUUUUUUUUUUUUUUUAAAAACAUGGGGACAGAUGUGCUUCACUGCGCGCCUCUGCGCCCCGGACAAGUUCGGGUGGUUUUGGUCUGCAAGUAGGCAAAGUCCUGCCGCGUCCUGAAGGACAGAGCAGCAGUUAAGUUCGCUUGACACCCUCCGUCUGCCGCUUACGGCCUCACCGGGCAUUAAUCAUGUGGUGCGAAUUUUUACAUUCCCGGUGGUUCCCUCCGGCUGGCUUUAUUUCAGCCAACGCAUGUCAUCCAUUUACCACAAUAAGGCUAGAGGAAAAGACAUUGCUUUGCUUUUAUUAAAAAAAACCAGCCCCACAACUGGCAUGCUUUUCGUCUGAUAACCUUCGCUGGUGCCUUGUGUCAGAGAAGGGAGUUUGAAUGCACUAGUGCUUUUUAAAGCAAGGGGAUGCCAUCUGCCCUCCCUGAGGAAAAACAAGCCAGAGCCAGGCUUCUCCAGCCUUUGGAAAACAGCUGCCUGCAUGUAAACAAGAUCUGCUAUGUGAGGACACAAGAACUGCGCUGCAGGUCAGACAAAGGGUCCACCUGCGCUGGAUGGCAGCACUAGCAGGUGUUCUUUGGAAAGCACAUUUAAACCAGGCCCCUUUCCUCCACAGGCACUGCCUUUGCCUGGCACUCCCCUGGCCUGAGAAGGAGGCCUGCCCCUGCGCACCUCUCAGGUAAGCAGGGAGGAUGAGCUGCCCAAACCUCGGCUCCCAGUUCAGUCAGGCUCCACUGCUGGCUCUCCCCACUGAGAAGCCGUAAGUGAUCUCCAUGCAACAACCCUGGCGGCAGAAACUUGACUGCUUUUGGAUGCAGGUUUGCUCCCACUACGUUGUAUUGCCUGCUCAAGGGGGCACAGCCAGAGACACUGCACGUUUAAUUGAGCAAGGAGUCUCAGAGAGGAGAGCAAGAAGCACCUGAAUAAUCUCCAGCAGUGUACUGGGUAAUCCUUGGAAGCCACAGGUCAUUCUCACCCAAGCAAGUACUGGCGCAAAGUCAGACAGCAACUUUUAAAGUAAUUUAAAAAUUUAAAAAUAAAAGAGCUGUGCAAAAA
Long non-coding RNA from Falco peregrinus (peregrine falcon), 1077 nucleotides. RefSeq lists it as uncharacterized. NCBI's taxonomy places the organism in Eukaryota, Metazoa, Chordata, Aves, Falconiformes, Falconidae. The transcript has 2 exons. The record is from RefSeq and is a predicted model, not a curated record.